This 468-nucleotide ribosomal RNA is filed under the name uncultured bacterium. RNAcentral describes it as "partial 16S ribosomal RNA". It matches the Rfam family "Bacterial small subunit ribosomal RNA", at positions 28 to 507 of the family's 1533-position model. The record is from RNAcentral.
GACGAACGCUGGCGGCGUGCUUAACACAUGCAAGUCGAACGGAAAGGCCCUGCUUUUGUGGGGUGCUCGAGUGGCGAACGGGUGAGUAACACGUGAGUAACCUGCCCUUGACUUUGGGAUAACUUCAGGAAACUGGGGCUAAUACCGGAUAGGAGCUCCUGCUGCAUGGUGGGGGUUGGAAAGUUUCGGCGGUUGGGGAUGGACUCGCGGCUUAUCAGCUUGUUGGUGGGGUAGUGGCUUACCAAGGCUUUGACGGGUAGCCGGCCUGGGAGGGUGACCGGCCACAUUGGGACUGAGAUACGGCCCAGACUCCUACGGGAGGCAGCAGUGGGGAAUAUUGCACAAUGGGCGGAAGCCUGAUGCAGCAACGCCGCGUGCGGGAUGAAGGCCUUCGGGUUGUAAACCGCUUUCGCCUGUGCCGAAGCGUGAGUGACGGUAAUGGGUAAAGAAGCACCGGCUAACUACGUG